AACUAAGUUUGUUCUUGGUAUAAGUGUUCAUGUGCAUGCACACUUCUUCAGAUUCUUCGGGUAUCUGAAGAAGUGUGCAUGCACAUGAAAGCUUAUACCAAGAACAAACUUAGUUAG
Molecule: microRNA precursor, 117 nt
Filed under: Podarcis lilfordi (Lilford's wall lizard)
Lineage: Eukaryota; Metazoa; Chordata; Lepidosauria; Squamata; Lacertidae
Source: RNAcentral